Prunus persica (peach) is the source of this 1823-nucleotide long non-coding RNA. RefSeq lists it as uncharacterized. The transcript has 4 exons. NCBI's taxonomy places the organism in Eukaryota, Viridiplantae, Streptophyta, Magnoliopsida, Rosales, Rosaceae. The record is from RefSeq and is a predicted model, not a curated record.
CUUAUCUUCUUACCAUUUGGGCCGGUAAAAAUAUUGGUAGCUGGUAAUUUCCAGACAGCCUGAGACGGGUGAAAAUUGCAGGGGACAGAAAAGAAAAAUGUUACGCUAAUUAUUGAACUCCCAUGGAAACUCGGGGGCUCUAUCAACGAUGAUAGAUCUUCACCUUCCCAUCGCUUUCCCACUUCACCACUCCCUUACCGAUAGAUCUUCGAUCAGGUAAACCCGCCACGUCAUGGAAGCAGCUCUCUUAUGUUGUUAGUUUCCUAUUUGAGAAAAUGCAUGUAAGAUUAUGAUGAUGGGUCUCUACACACGACGGUAGAGAUAGAAUUAUUGUUACCGGAGAUGAGGACUAGAGGUAUAAUAGGGGCGUUGUUGAAAUCUUUCGGUCCAAGUGAGCAUGGCACUCGCCUUGUUCGUAAAGGAAGAAGGUUGGGUCGAUUUGUCAGACACAAAUUCUGGCUCUAGGGUGUUUCUCUUUGCAGCAAUCUUUUUGAUUUACUUGCUACUCUUCGGCCUCAACAUGCAUUUUCCUGCUAAACUAGAAGGUAGUGGUCUAGUAUCCGUAUUUCAGCACGGCAAGAAAUUUUUGCCAUUUCAUGUUGUUGGAAGACCACCCAGAUGCAAGCAUUGUCAGUAGUGUAAGUGUGAAGUGUUAUAUUUUCAAUGUUUCAUAUCACAACCCUUGAGUUUAUUAUUGAUUUAGUGCUUAUGCAUAUGAAGAUGUGAUGUCUUUUUCUUUCUUGUUCGUUGGAUUGUACAAAGAUACAAAAUUUGCAAACCAGUUUAUCCCUAUGGCUCAUCCCUUUUGCCCCCUCCCAUAUAAUGAUUUUCCAAAUUUGCCUUGCGAGGUUGGGUUUUUGGAAUAAGUUGAGUAUCUUGUUGAACCUAAGGAAGUCAUGAACUUCACACUGUUUUCACUAGAGUUCAUUGACCAAGAGGGAAUACCUUCCCUUAGUAAUAUAUAUGAACCUAGAUUUGGAGGACAUCAGACACUUGAGGAAAGAGAGCAAUCUUUCUUUGCGAAGAAUCAAACUCUACAUUGUGGAUUUAUCAAAGGACCCCCUGGAUUCUCAAGCACUGGAUUUGAUAUAGAUGCGAAGGACAAGGCAUACAAGAACGAGUGUAAGAUUGCAGUAUCUUCUUGCAUUUUUGGAAGCUCUGACUUUCUUAGGAGGCCUACAAGCAAAAAGGACUGUGAGCGCAGAGCACUAGUAAAGCUAUUCCGGCAUAGGGAAGAGCCAUCUCCUCCAGGACCUCCACCUGUUACUUGAUCAGUAAUUAUUAUUUGCAGUUAUUCGGGGACGGAGACUGAAGUGAAAACCAAGCUAAUGUCAGCUGCUUGUCUGGCGAGAUUGAAUGGGUUAAGUCGUUGUAGGCUUGUAGCUGCUGCUGAGCCUGAAUGGCUGGUGGUUUUUGUUGUUGUUGCAACUUUCACCUGACCAUAUAGGACACAGAGAGGAAUUUAAUUUAGCAUUACAAAAAUGAUCCAAAGAUCGGACGGCCACAAGUCUCAACUGCUGUUUCAAACUGGGAAAGGCAGACCAAGCAAUGCUGUUGAGGACAUUGGUAGGGAAGGGACUUAUUUUCCUCUACUGUAAUAUUCAGUUCCAUACCCGACUUUCUGAUUUUCCUGAAAGAAGGGUGGUUUAGAAACUAACAGGUUGUAAUAUUCGUUUGUAUAGCCCUAUACAUUUUUAAUGUAGAAGAAUUUAGCUCACCUCCAACACAUGAAGGGAUGAUAGCCAUUCUGUACUUCGUAGAAAUUCAUUAAUAUGUGACAUUCAUCCAAAUAUCUAUGAAAACUCAUGUGGUUCUCAUCUCAA